AUACGAAGGUCCCAAGCGUUAUUCGGAAUCACUGGGCGUAAAGAGUACGUAGGCGGUUUGGUAAGUCAGGUGUGAAAUCCCGAAGCUCAACUUCGGAACUGCAUCCGAUACUGCCAGACUAGAGUAAUGGAGAGGCAGGUGGAAUUCUCGGUGUAGCAGUGAAAUGCGUGGAUAUCGAGAGGAAGACCAAUGGCGAAGGCAGCCUGCUGGACAUUUUCUGACGCUGAGGUACGAAGGCUAGGGGAGCGAAAGGGAUUAGAAACCCCAGUAGUCC
RNAcentral lists this ribosomal RNA (274 nucleotides) under uncultured bacterium. Its description in RNAcentral is "partial 16S ribosomal RNA". It matches the Rfam family "Bacterial small subunit ribosomal RNA", at positions 523 to 796 of the family's 1533-position model. The record is from RNAcentral.